This 492-nucleotide ribosomal RNA is filed under the name uncultured bacterium. RNAcentral describes it as "partial 16S ribosomal RNA". It matches the Rfam family "Bacterial small subunit ribosomal RNA", at positions 29 to 507 of the family's 1533-position model. The record is from RNAcentral.
AGUGAACGCUGGCGGUAGGCCUAACACAUGCAAGUCGAACGGCAGCACAGUAAGAGCUUGCUCUUACGGGUGGCGAGUGGCGGACGGGUGAGGAAUACAUCGGAAUCUACUUUUUCGUGGGGGAUAACGUAGGGAAACUUACGCUAAUACCGCAUACGACCUACGGGUGAAAGCAGUGGAUCUUCGGACCUUGCGCGAUUGAAUGAGCCGAUGUCGGAUUAGCUAGUUGGCGGGGUAAAGGCCCACCAAGGCGACGAUCCGUAGCUGGUCUGAGAGGAUGAUCAGCCACACUGGAACUGAGACACGGUCCAGACUCCUGCGGGAGGCAGCAGUGGGGAAUAUUGGACAAUGGGCGCAAGCCUGAUCCAGCCAUACCGCGUGGGUGAAGAAGGCGUUCGGGUUGUAAAGCCCUUUUGUUGGGAAAGAAAAGCAGCAGGUUAAUACCCCGCUGUUCUGACGGUACCCAAAGAAUAAGCACCGGCUAACUUCGUG